GACGAACGCUGGCGGCGUGCUUAACACAUGCAAGUCGAGCGGUAAGGCCCUUUCGGGGGUACGACGAGCGGCGAACGGGUGAGUAACACGUGGGUGACCUGCCCUCAGCUCUGGGAGUAAGCCUGGGAAACCGGGUCUAAUACCGGAUAUGACUCCAUGACGCAUGUUGUGGGGUGGGAAAGCCUUGUGCGGCUGAGGAUGGGCCCGCGGCCUAUCAGCUUGUUGGUGGGGUGGAUGGCCUACCAAGGCGACGACGGGUAGCCGGCCUGAGAGGGCGACCGGCCACACUGGGACUGAGACACGGCCCAGACUCCUACGGGAGGCAGCAGUGGGGAAUCUUGCGCAAUGGGCGAAAGCCUGACGCAGCGACGCCGCGUGAGGGAUGACGGCCU
This 392-nucleotide ribosomal RNA is filed under the name uncultured bacterium. RNAcentral describes it as "bacterial SSU rRNA". It matches the Rfam family "Bacterial small subunit ribosomal RNA", at positions 28 to 417 of the family's 1533-position model. The record is from RNAcentral.